AUCACUUCUAUCCUUGCUGUAGAUUUUGUUGGUACAUCUCAUCAACGAACAUGAAGCUGUUUCUCCUGAUGGUUCUUGCCACUCUGUUGACUGCAGAAUGUGUUGUUGCAGAACGACAACAAAUCAAGCUGGCCCCAACCAUGUAUGCGAGAGCACGGUUCACAAGAUCAAUAUCAGAAUAUCGUCUUCGGUCUGGUGCCUCAAAACGUCUGAGAAUGCGAAGUCUAUCAAGUUCUGGCACUGAAUGAUGAGGCAUAAAACCCCAAAGUGUCGAUGCCGCACGCAAUGAC
This 290-nucleotide long non-coding RNA is filed under the name Haliotis rubra (blacklip abalone). RNAcentral's name for it is "uncharacterized LOC124271505". Lineage: Eukaryota; Metazoa; Mollusca; Gastropoda; Lepetellida; Haliotidae. The record is from RNAcentral.